Molecule: ribosomal RNA, 1386 nt
Filed under: uncultured bacterium
Lineage: Bacteria
Description: bacterial SSU rRNA
Rfam family: Bacterial small subunit ribosomal RNA
Source: RNAcentral
AGAGUUUGAUCCUGGCUCAGGAUGAACGCUGGCGGCAUGCCUAAUACAUGCAAGUCGAACGAGGGUCCUUCGGGACUCGAGUGGCGAACGGGUGAGUAACACGUAGGGAACCUGCCCGUGCGACCGGGAGAACUUUCGGAAACGGAAGCUGAUACCGGAUAGGGACAGAGACGGCAUCGACUCUGUGUUAAAGGAGCUGAAAGGCUCCGCGCACGGAUGGACCUGCGGUGCAUUAGCUGGUUGGUGAGGUAACGGCCCACCAAGGCGACGAUGCAUAGCCGGCCUGAGAGGGCGGACGGCCACACUGGGACUGAGACACGGCCCAGACUCCUACGGGAGGCAGCAGUAGGGAAUUUUCGUCAAUGGGCGCAAGCCUGAACGAGCAAUGCCGCGUGAACGAGGAAGGUCUUCGGAUCGUAAAGUUCUGUUGAAGGGGAAAAAGAGCGGAGAGAGGAAAUGGUCUCCGAUUGAUAUUACCCUUCGAGGAAGUCACGGCUAACUACGUGCCAGCAGCCGCGGUAAUACGUAGGUGGCGAGCGUUAUCCGGAAUGAUUGGGCGUAAAGGGUGCGUAGGCGGCCUGCUAAGUCUGGAGUGAAAGGUACCGGCUCAACCGGUACAGGCUCUGGAAACUGGCGGGCUAGAGAGCAGGAGAGGGCGGUGGAACUCCAUGUGUAGCGGUAAAAUGCGUAGAUAUAUGGAAGAACACCAGUGGCGAAGGCGGCCGCCUGGCCUGUUACUGACGCUGAGGCACGAAAGCGUGGGGAGCAAAUAGGAUUAGAUACCCUAGUAGUCCACGCCGUAAACGAUGAGGACCAAGUGUUGGGGAAGACCCAGUGCUGCAGUUAACGCAGUGAGUCCUCCGCCUGGGGAGUAUGCACGCAAGUGUGAAACUCAAAGGAAUUGACGGGGGCCCGCACAAGCGGUGGAGUAUGUGGUUUAAUUCGAAGCAACGCGAAGAACCUUACCAGGCCUUGACAUAGGGUGCGAAGCUAUGGAGACAUAGUGGAGGUAAACAUCCAUACAGGUGGUGCAUGGUUGUCGUCAGCUCGUGUCGUGAGAUGUUCAGUUAAGUCUGGCAACGAGCGCAACCCUCGUGAUGUGUUACCAAUAUCGAGUUAGGGACUCACAUCAGACUGCCGGUGAGAAACCGGAGGAAGGCGGGGAGGACGUCAAAUCAUCAUGCCCCUUAUGGCCUGGGCUACACACGUACUACAAUGGCGGCGACAGAGGGCAGCGAGCCUGCGAAGGCAAGCGAAUCCCCAAAAAGCCGUCCCAGUUCGGAUUGGAGUCUGCAACCCGACUCCAUGAAGUUGGAAUCGCUAGUAAUCGCGGAUCAGCAUGCCGCGGUGAAUACGUUCUCGGGCCUUGCACACACCGCCCGUCAA